CGAUAAGCGCCGGUAAGGUGAUAUGAACCGUUAUAACCGGCGAUACCCGAAUGGGGAAACCCAGUGUGAUUCGUCACACUAUCAUUAACUGAAUCCAUAGGUUAAUGAGGCGAACCGGGGGAACUGAAACAUCUAAGUACCCCGAGGAAAAGAAAUCAACCGAGAUUCCCCCAGUAGCGGCGAGCGAACGGGGAGGAGCCCAGAGCCUGAAUCAGCAUGUGUGUUAGUGGAAGCGUCUGGAAAGGCGCGCGAUACAGGGUGACAGCCCCGUACACAAAAGCGCAUGUGCUGUGAGCUCGAUGAGUAGGGCGGGACACGUGGUAUCCUGUCUGAAUAUGGGGGGACCAUCCUCCAAGGCUAAAUACUCCUGACUGACCGAUAGUGAACCAGUACCGUGAGGGAAAGGCGAAAAGAACCCCGGCGAGGGGAGUGAAAAAGAACCUGAAACCGUGUACGUACAAGCAGUGGGAGCACAGGUUUACCUGUGUGACUGCGUACCUUUUGUAUAAUGGGUCAGCGACUUAUAUUCUGUAGCAAGGUUAACCGAAUAGGGGAGCCGGAGGGAAACCGAGUCUUAAUUGGGCGUUAAGUUGCAGGGUAUAGACCCGAAACCCGGUGAUCUAGCCAUGGGCAGGUUGAAGGUUGGGUAACACUAACUGGAGGACCGAACCGACUAAUGUUGAAAAAUUAGCGGAUGACCUGUGGCUGGGGGUGAAAGGCCAAUCAAACCGGGAGAUAGCUGGUUCUCCCCGAAAGCU
RNAcentral lists this ribosomal RNA (758 nucleotides) under Salmonella enterica subsp. enterica serovar Derby. Its description in RNAcentral is "partial 23S ribosomal RNA". It matches the Rfam family "Bacterial large subunit ribosomal RNA", at positions 69 to 867 of the family's 2925-position model. Lineage: Bacteria; Pseudomonadati; Pseudomonadota; Gammaproteobacteria; Enterobacterales; Enterobacteriaceae. The record is from RNAcentral.